AGCUUGCUCCUUUGACGUUAGCGGCGGACGGGUGAGUAACACGUGGAUAACCUACCUAUAAGACUGGGAUAACUUCGGGAAACCGGAGCUAAUACCGGAUAAGAUUUUGAACCGCAUGGUUCAAUAGUGAAAGACGGCCUUGCUGUCACUUAUAGAUGGAUCCGCGCCGUAUUAGCUAGUUGGUAAGGUAACGGCUUACCAAGGCAACGAUACGUAGCCGACCUGAGAGGGUGAUCGGCCACACUGGAACUGAGACACGGUCCAGACUCCUACGGGAGGCAGCAGUAGGGAAUCUUCCGCAAUGGGCGAAAGCCUGACGGAGCAACGCCGCGUGAGUGAUGAAGGUCUUCGGAUCGUAAAACUCUGUUAUCAGGGAAGAACAAACGUGUAAGUAACUGUGCACGUCUUGACGGUACCUGAUCAGAAAGCCACGGCUAACUACGUGCCAGCAGCCGCGGUAAUACGUAGGUGGCAAGCGUUAUCCGGAAUUAUUGGGCGUAAAGCGCGCGUAGGCGGUUUUUUAAGUCUGAUGUGAAAGCCCACGGCUCAACCGUGGAGGGUCAUUGGAAACUGGAAAACUUGAGUGCAGAAGAGGAAAGUGGAAUUCCAUGUGUAGCGGUGAAAUGCGCAGAGAUAUGGAGGAACACCAGUGGCGAAGGCGACUUUCUGGUCUGUAACUGACGCUGAUGCGCGAAAGCGUGGGGAUCAAACAGGAUUAGAUACCCUGGUAGUCCACGCCGUAAACGA
RNAcentral lists this ribosomal RNA (747 nucleotides) under Staphylococcus pasteuri. Its description in RNAcentral is "bacterial SSU rRNA". It matches the Rfam family "Bacterial small subunit ribosomal RNA", at positions 77 to 809 of the family's 1533-position model. Lineage: Bacteria; Bacillati; Bacillota; Bacilli; Caryophanales; Staphylococcaceae. The record is from RNAcentral.